Octopus sinensis (East Asian common octopus) is the source of this 202-nucleotide small nuclear RNA. RefSeq annotates it as U2 spliceosomal RNA. The record is from RefSeq and is a predicted model, not a curated record. The transcript has a single exon. NCBI's taxonomy places the organism in Eukaryota, Metazoa, Mollusca, Cephalopoda, Octopoda, Octopodidae.
AUCGCUUCUCGACCUUUUGGCUAAGAUCAAAGUGUAGUAUCUGUUCUUAUCAGCUUAAUAUCUGAUACGGUCCCUAUUUGGGGGCCAUCGAUAUUAAACUGAUUUUUCGAACAAGGCAAAGUGUUAGGGGCUAAAGGCGGCGAGCUGGCAGAAACAUUAGCGCACCGGGCGAAAUGCUUAGCGGUAUUUCGUCUGCCAUUAC